AACGAACGCUGGCGGCAUGCCUAACACAUGCAAGUCGAACGAGACCUUCGGGUCUAGUGGCGCACGGGUGCGUAACGCGUGGGAAUCUGCCCUUCGGUUGGGAAUAACACAGAGAAAUUUGUGCUAAUACCUUAUAAUGUCUUCGGACCAAAGAUUUAUCGCCGAGGGAUGAGCCCGCGUAGGAUUAGCUAGUUGGUGGGGUAAUGGCCUACCAAGGCGACGAUCCUUAGCUGGUCUGAGAGGAUGAUCAGCCACACUGGGACUGAGACACGGCCCAGACUCCUACGGGAGGCAGCAGUGGGGAAUAUUGGACAAUGGGCGAAAGCCUGAUCCAGCAAUGCCGCGUGAGUGAUGAAGGCCUUAGGGUUGUAAAGCUCUUUUACCCGGGAUGAUAAUGACAGUACCGGAGGAAUAAGCCCCGGCUAACUUCGUGCCAGCCGCCGCAGUAAAAC
Molecule: ribosomal RNA, 452 nt
Filed under: uncultured bacterium
Lineage: Bacteria
Description: bacterial SSU rRNA
Rfam family: Bacterial small subunit ribosomal RNA
Source: RNAcentral